Long non-coding RNA from Quercus lobata, 619 nucleotides. RefSeq lists it as uncharacterized. NCBI's taxonomy places the organism in Eukaryota, Viridiplantae, Streptophyta, Magnoliopsida, Fagales, Fagaceae. The record is from RefSeq and is a predicted model, not a curated record. The transcript is spliced from 3 exons.
AAAAAAAGGCAUUGCAAUUAAGAAAACCCUACUGAUUUCUUUUCAUCAGACUGCUUAAUAUUUUCUCUCUCUGAACAAAAAAACAAGCGAUACUGCGAUACAGAGAAAGGGAAGGAGAAAAAAAAAAAACUUGCAAUCUAGUGAAGAAUCGUGCGACCAAACGUUUGUCCCAGAGGUAUUGAGAGAGAGGCGAUGAAAUCGAGAGAGAGGCUAUGAAGACACGGAGAAAGAAACAGAAAAAGAGAGAAGUGAUGAAGACACGGUGAAACAAACAGAAAAAGAGAGAGGCGAUCCUGGUACACGAAGAAAGAAGAGAUCGCCUCUCUGUUUCUGACAGAAUGGCUCUCUGCCUACAAACAAUGCCUCUGAUGGGUUCUAUUCUUUUUCUGAUUUAUUUAUAGAGAUAGAAAUAGAGAAAGAGAGGCGAUGAGGCUUGGGACAUGGAGAAAGAAACAGAGAAAGAGGCAGAGUUCAGUUUCCCCACCACCAUCCGUUCCCUUUCCAGAUUUAGACCACCAGAUUGCUGGAACCAACAUCGACAACGGUAACUAUCGACUGUCAUUCACAUAGGCAACAAAGCUCUACAUCAACUUUGACAUUCCAAAAGUCACAAAGGAAA